This is a long non-coding RNA of Coregonus clupeaformis (lake whitefish), 911 nucleotides long. RefSeq lists it as uncharacterized. NCBI's taxonomy places the organism in Eukaryota, Metazoa, Chordata, Actinopteri, Salmoniformes, Salmonidae. The record is from RefSeq and is a predicted model, not a curated record. The transcript is spliced from 4 exons.
UCCGCAUCAUUGCAGAAAGCGCUGUGGUCAGGCACAGUGGACGCCUCAUAAUACACAUAAAACCUAGCGGUAAAACCCGGUAAUGGUUCCAAUCGUUUUUCCCCAUUCAUUUUGCGUCUGGAAUUUUAGAACUACUUUAAAUAAGGUCUGUGUUUCGUGUAGGCGUACCCUGGCGUGACGUGUUGAUAUCCAUGUAAUUCUCUCUCAAACAAGAGUGAGAGUACAUCACUUCCAGCAGAUCUCCUUGCCGAGGAUGGUGUUGAUCAUGCACUUCUUCUCGUGGGGCUUGAUCUGCUGUAGUCUCCACAUCCGGAUCACAAUGGCACAGGAUGUCCAUGCACCGGGUGGCCUGUGGGAUGCGCUCCUGUUGGACUGGAAAACAAAGAGACAUUUGUCUGGAUCUUCCUCUUCUGCCAUGGUGGAUGAGCUACCUUUUCUGGUAAAUACAGGACCAUUUUAUCUUUCCCACCGGAAAAUGGCAGCUGCAGACCCGGGUGUUGUCACUGGGUUUCCGGUCCGCCCAUCUGAAAGACAAACAAAAAAGUUACUUUUACUAGCUAGUUAAGUUGAUUACUAAAAUGGUAACAUCUAUAUUAAAAUACAAUAACCCACAGACUUGACUAUAGUAACUGUAACAUAGACUGGGCUUUGCUCUAUCUGCAUAUCUAAAAUCCUACUAUGUAGAUAAGAUAUUUCUGCUGGGAUGGAGGAAUUAUCUGUAAUGCUCAACUAGAUGAUCAGGACAGUCUAGAGUACUAUUUGCCCGAAGGGGUGAAGUAUUGCAAUGAGCUAUAUGGCUAUACUUCUGAUUCUAAUUCUCAAGAGGAAAGUUAAAACCCUUAGCCGUAAGGUUUUUGUGAUUUCCAACUUGUUGUUUAUGUCCAAUGGCCGAUGAGCACCAAUAUGUUUUA